UACAGAGGUCCCAAGCGUUGUUCGGAUUCACUGGGCGUAAAGGGUGCGUAGGCGGUCGGGUAAGUCUGACGUGAAAUCUCCAAGCUCAACUUGGAAAUGGCGUCGGAUACUAUUCGGCUUGAGGAAUGGAGGGGAGACUGGAAUUCUCGGUGUAGCAGUGAAAUGCGUAGAUAUCGAGAGGAACACCAGUGGCGAAGGCGACUCGCUGGACCUUUUCUGACGCUGAGGCGCGAAAGCUAGGGGAGCAAACAGG
RNAcentral lists this ribosomal RNA (253 nucleotides) under uncultured bacterium. Its description in RNAcentral is "partial 16S ribosomal RNA". It matches the Rfam family "Bacterial small subunit ribosomal RNA", at positions 524 to 776 of the family's 1533-position model. The record is from RNAcentral.